CCUACGGGAGGCAGCAGUGAGGAAUAUUGCGCAAUGGCCGAAAGGCUGACGCAGCAACGCCGCGUGAGGGAUGAAGUUCUUCGGAAUGUAAACCUCUGUUAGAGGGGACGAAUGAGGGAGAGACUAAUAGACUCUCUCUUUGACGGUACCUUCAGAGAAAGCCCCGGCUAACUCCGUGCCAGCAGCCGCGGUAAU
RNAcentral lists this ribosomal RNA (195 nucleotides) under uncultured bacterium. RNAcentral describes it as "partial 16S ribosomal RNA". It matches the Rfam family "Bacterial small subunit ribosomal RNA", at positions 338 to 524 of the family's 1533-position model. The record is from RNAcentral.